RNAcentral lists this ribosomal RNA (253 nucleotides) under uncultured bacterium. Its description in RNAcentral is "partial 16S ribosomal RNA". It matches the Rfam family "Bacterial small subunit ribosomal RNA", at positions 524 to 776 of the family's 1533-position model. The record is from RNAcentral.
UACGUAGGGCGCAAGCGUUGUCCGGAAUUAUUGGGCGUAAAGAGCUCGUAGGCGGUUUGUCGCGUCUGUCGUGAAAGCUUGGGGCUUAACCCCAAGUCUGCGGUGGAUACGGGCAGACUAGAGGCAGGUAGGGGAGAACGGAAUUCCCGGUGUAGCGGUGAAAUGCGCAGAUAUCGGGAGGAACACCGGUGGCGAAGGCGGAUCUCUGGGCCUGAUCUGACGCUGAGGCGCGAAAGCUAGGGGAGCGAACAGG